RNAcentral lists this ribosomal RNA (1822 nucleotides) under Salmonella enterica subsp. enterica serovar Infantis. RNAcentral describes it as "partial 23S ribosomal RNA". The record is from RNAcentral. Lineage: Bacteria; Pseudomonadati; Pseudomonadota; Gammaproteobacteria; Enterobacterales; Enterobacteriaceae.
UUAGUGGAAGCGUCUGGAAAGGCGCGCGAUACAGGGUGACAGCCCCGUACACAAAAGCGCAUGUGCUGUGAGCUCGAUGAGUAGGGCGGGACACGUGGUAUCCUGUCUGAAUAUGGGGGGACCAUCCUCCAAGGCUAAAUACUCCUGACUGACCGAUAGUGAACCAGUACCGUGAGGGAAAGGCGAAAAGAACCCCGGCGAGGGGAGUGAAAAAGAACCUGAAACCGUGUACGUACAAGCAGUGGGAGCCCCACCACCAAAGCAUUCUCUGGUGUUGAAGGCCCUGCAAAGCAGCAUCGCGGUGGCGGAGCGUCGUUUGCGACGCCCAACACACAAAACAAGCGGUGAGUGCUUUGGGGUGGGGUGACUGCGUACCUUUUGUAUAAUGGGUCAGCGACUUAUAUUCUGUAGCAAGGUUAACCGAAUAGGGGAGCCGGAGGGAAACCGAGUCUUAAUUGGGCGUUAAGUUGCAGGGUAUAGACCCGAAACCCGGUGAUCUAGCCAUGGGCAGGUUGAAGGUUGGGUAACACUAACUGGAGGACCGAACCGACUAAUGUUGAAAAAUUAGCGGAUGACCUGUGGCUGGGGGUGAAAGGCCAAUCAAACCGGGAGAUAGCUGGUUCUCCCCGAAAGCUAUUUAGGUAGCGCCUCGUGAAUUCAUCUCCGGGGGUAGAGCACUGUUUCGGCUAGGGGGCCAUCCCGGCUUACCAACCCGAUGCAAACUGCGAAUACCGGAGAAUGUUAUCACGGGAGACACACGGCGGGUGCUAACGUCCGUCGUGAAGAGGGAAACAACCCAGACCGCCAGCUAAGGUCCCAAAGUCAUGGUUAAGUGGGAAACGAUGUGGGAAGGCCCAGACAGCCAGGAUGUUGGCUUAGAAGCAGCCAUCAUUUAAAGAAAGCGUAAUAGCUCACUGGUCGAGUCGGCCUGCGCGGAAGAUGUAACGGGGCUAAACCAUGCACCGAAGCUGCGGCAGCGAACGUAUCACUUAAAGCGAUUCAGCGGGUUACGAUUGACGGAGCGAAGCGACGUCAAAGCGUAUACAAAGUCGAGUCGGUUUAAGGAUACGUUCGUUGGGUAGGGGAGCGUUCUGUAAGCCUGYGAAGGUGKSYYGUGAGGSWUGCUGGAGGUAUCAGAAGUGCGAAUGCUGACAUAAGUAACGAUAAAGCGGGUGAAAAGCCCGCUCGCCGGAAGACCAAGGGUUCCUGUCCAACGUUAAUCGGGGCAGGGUGAGUCGACCCCUAAGGCGAGGCCGAAAGGCGUAGUCGAUGGGAAACGGGUUAAUAUUCCCGUACUUGGUGUUACUGCGAAGGGGGGACGGAGAAGGCUAUGUUGGCCGGGCGACGGUUGUCCCGGUUUAAGCGUGUAGGCUGGUUUUCCAGGCAAAUCCGGAAAAUCAAGGCUGAGGCGUGAUGACGAGGCACUACGGUGCUGAAGCAACAAAUGCCCUGCUUCCAGGAAAAGCCUCUAAGCAUCAGGUAACAUCAAAUCGUACCCCAAACCGACACAGGUGGUCAGGUAGAGAAUACCAAGGCGCUUGAGAGAACUCGGGUGAAGGAACUAGGCAAAAUGGUGCCGUAACUUCGGGAGAAGGCACGCUGACACGUAGGUGAAGUGAUUUACUCAUGGAGCUGAAGUCAGUCGAAGAUACCAGCUGGCUGCAACUGUUUAUUAAAAACACAGCACUGUGCAAACACGAAAGUGGACGUAUACGGUGUGACGCCUGCCCGGUGCCGGAAGGUUAAUUGAUGGGGUCAGCGCAAGCGAAGCUCCUGAUCGAAGCCCCGGUAAACGGCGGCCGUAACUAUAACGGUCCUAAGG